GACGAACGCUGGCGGCGUGCUUAACACAUGCAAGUCGAGCGAGGCCCCUCCUUCGGGGGGGUGUCCUAGCGGCGAACGGGUGAGUAACACGUGGGCAACCUGCCCUCAGCUCUGGGAUAACUCCGGGAAACCGGGGCUAAUACCGGAUACGACCUCCACGGGCAUCUGCGGAGGUGGAAAGUUUUUCGGCUGAGGAUGGGCCCGCGGCCUAUCAGCUAGUUGGUGGGGUAGUGGCACACCAAGGCGACGACGGGUAGCCGGCCUGAGAGGGCGACCGGCCACACUGGGACUGAGACACGGCCCAGACUCCUACGGGAGGCAGCAGUGGGGAAUAUUGCGCAAUGGGCGAAAGCCUGACGCAGCGACGCCGCGUGAGGGACGAAGGCCUUUGGGUUGUAAACCUCUUUCAGCAGGGACGAAGCGAAAGUGACGGUACCUGCAGAAGAAGCACCGGCCAACUACGUG
This 465-nucleotide ribosomal RNA is filed under the name uncultured bacterium. Its description in RNAcentral is "partial 16S ribosomal RNA". It matches the Rfam family "Bacterial small subunit ribosomal RNA", at positions 28 to 507 of the family's 1533-position model. The record is from RNAcentral.